GUGAAUCAUCGAAUUUUUGAGCGCAAAUUGCACUCUCUUCGUAGAGUAUGCCUGUUUGAGUGUCAGCCUAAAAAAUCGACAUAGUUGCUGUUUCGCGGGGACAUUCGUCGGAAAUUGGGUCAUCUUAAACCGUUGGGUUUUAAGCGGCUUAAAAUUGUCUGUACGAUUCGACGAACGUUGCGAAGAUUUUACUUCUUACACGUUUAAGGUAGCGAUCUUUAUUAGAUGUGGCCGUUGCAUCGGAUCACGGCCAUAAGU
RNAcentral lists this unclassified non-coding RNA (258 nucleotides) under Glomus sp. Its description in RNAcentral is "partial contains 5.8S ribosomal RNA and internal transcribed spacer 2". The stretch from base 1 to 65 matches the Rfam family "5.8S ribosomal RNA", at positions 84 to 154 of the family's 154-position model. Lineage: Eukaryota; Fungi; Glomeromycota; Glomeromycetes; Glomerales; Glomeraceae. The record is from RNAcentral.